GUUGGGGGCUGGGGUGAGGAAGCAUUUGCAGGAAGUGGAGGUUCCUAAAGCUUUAGCUAAAGCCUUGGCGGCCUUGAGAUUUCCCUUGCUAAAUUCACAGAUACACAACAUCUGCAUAUACAACCUGAUGAAUAUAAAGGUAGAAUAAGACUGACACAAGGGUGGAGCUCACUCUCAGGUGUGGUUUAUAAGCAGAAAGGAAGAUGUGCCAGAGGCCCAUUCAUACUUUUCGAUUAAAAAGGAUCUCUAAAGGUUUCAACACGGACUUGCAACAAACCAUAUAAUUUAGGUGCUGUUACUAUAUGCUAUUGGGGACCGGAAACUAAGGCUUAAGUAACAAGUGACAGAGCCUGAGAAGUUUUAACCACGCCACCAGGUUCCAGAUGAUACCAUAAUGCCAACCUGUCUUCCCUGGGAAGACGACUCCAACAUGUGUCCUGGAGCCCCACCUCCCCAGAUCCCUGACCCACUAGGGAGAGAGAGACAGGCUGGGAGUAUAGAUCAACCUGCUAACACUCAUGUUCAGUGGGGAAGCAAUUACAGAAGCCAAACCUUCCACCUUCUGCAUCCCACAAUGAUCCUGGGUCCAUACUCCCAGAGGGUUAAAGAAUAAGGAAACCGUUAAGGGAGGGGAUUGGAUAUGGAGCUCUGGGGUGGGCAUUGUGUGGAAAGGUAGCCCUCUUAUCCUGUAGUCUUGUCAAUAUUUCCAUUUUAUAAAUAAA
This is a long non-coding RNA of Erinaceus europaeus (western European hedgehog), 722 nucleotides long. RefSeq lists it as uncharacterized. The transcript is spliced from 3 exons. The record is from RefSeq and is a predicted model, not a curated record. NCBI's taxonomy places the organism in Eukaryota, Metazoa, Chordata, Mammalia, Eulipotyphla, Erinaceidae.